AAUUAAUAAAUAAAUAAAGCAAACAAAGAAAGUUAGAAGCGUAGCAAGCUUCAGCUUUAGCCGAAAGUCUCUCACUCUCUACGUCAACGUUGAACUGCAGUGCACACUCAAAGCUGUAGGAGACAAUUUGGGAUCUGUAGAUCAUGUUUCUCAGGCGACUUUCAGUGACGCUUCCUCUUUCAAGAAGAUUGUUUAGCAGUAACAGCAACCAUGAUCUUUCAAGCACCAUUGCUGAGCUAAAUAAGGAAAUGGAAUCGGUGUUUGGUGAACCUUCUUCAAAUGGCCCUGCCAGUUCUGCAAGUAAUGUUUACAUGGCUCAAGAAGCCCAGCUCGGUACCCAUAAAGGAGUUGAAAGCCCAGUAGGCUUGACCCACAUUGGCAGUACAGGUGAAGCCCAAAUGGUAGAUGUUUCUCUCAAAGAAAGUAGUAAGAGAACCGCAAUCGCUCGUUGCAAGGUAAUUCUUGGCAAGAAGGUGUUUGAUUUGGUUUUAGCUAACCAGAUGGCCAAGGGAGAUGUCCUUAGUGUGGCAAAAAUUGCAGGAAUAAGUGGAGCAAAGCACACUAGCAGUCUUAUCCCACUAUGCCACAACAUAACUCUGACUAAUGUUCGUGUUGAUCUGACACUGAAACCAGAGGAUUUUAGUGUGGAUAUAGAAGGAGAAGCUGCAUCUACAGGGAAAACUGGAGUUGAGAUGGAAGCAAUGACUGCCGUGACCAUUGCUGGUCUAACAGUUUAUGAUAUGUGCAAGGCUGCUUCAAAGGACAUCCAGAUCUCAGAUGUGCAACUUGAGCACAAAACUGGUGGAAAGAGUGGGGACUGGUACAGGGAGAAGUAAUAGUGUCUUUGAAGAAGACCAUUGUGCAAAAUUCUACCAAUGUCUUGGAGAAUUUUGGAGUAGCUUGCAUCUUCUGAGUACCUUAUACCAAUGUGCAUAGUGGAUAUCUUAAGCAAAAAGCGUGUUCAAUCAAAACCGUGCUGAACUGAAAUCUACCUUGUUUACCUUCUUAAACAGUUUGUUAGGUUGGAAUCUUGUUUAGAAGUGGACUCUGUUCCAUCUUAAGCCAAGAUUUCUCUCUAGUAAAACAGAAAAUAUUCCGAAAGGCUUAAUAUGGCUAGGGAAAACUUCAUUUCAAGAGAUUACGGUGCCAGAAUAUUUCACGGCAACUAAAGGGUUACGGAUAUCAGGAGUUACAAAAGAUUGAGACAAUAUAAAGAGUUAGGCAGUGAAGGUUGUCCUGUCUUGGCUUAGAUCCUUUUGUUGUUCUGUAAGCCCUUUGACUUGGGAGCUCCCGUAAAACUAAAAUUCACUUGGUAGCUGUGACUACAGAUAAAGCAUAUUUUGUUAUGACCCAAAA
Quercus robur (English oak) is the source of this 1356-nucleotide RNA transcript. It is a transcript of the gene named cyclic pyranopterin monophosphate synthase, mitochondrial, with no coding region annotated. Lineage: Eukaryota; Viridiplantae; Streptophyta; Magnoliopsida; Fagales; Fagaceae. The record is from RefSeq and is a predicted model, not a curated record. The transcript is spliced from 4 exons.